GGAGCGGUGUCAGAGCGGUCGAAUGAGCCGGUUUUGAAAACCGGUGUGGCGUCAGCCACCGGGGGUUCGAAUCCCUCCCGCUCCGCCA
This 88-nucleotide transfer RNA is filed under the name Planctomycetota bacterium. RNAcentral describes it as "tRNA-Ser". It matches the Rfam family "tRNA". Rfam says of the family: Transfer RNA (tRNA) molecules are approximately 80 nucleotides in length. Their secondary structure includes four short double-helical elements and three loops (D, anti-codon, and T loops). Lineage: Bacteria; Pseudomonadati; Planctomycetota. The record is from RNAcentral.